Molecule: ribosomal RNA, 253 nt
Filed under: uncultured bacterium
Lineage: Bacteria
Description: partial 16S ribosomal RNA
Rfam family: Bacterial small subunit ribosomal RNA
Source: RNAcentral
UACAGAGGGGGCAAGCGUUGUUCGGAAUUACUGGGCGUAAAGCGUGCGCAGGCGGCUAUGCAAGACAGAUGUGAAAUCCCCGGGCUCAACCUGGGAACUGCAUUUGUGACUGCAUGGCUGGAGUACGGCAGAGGGGGAUGGAAUUCCGCGUGUAGCAGUGAAAUGCGUAGAUAUGCGGAGGAACACCGAUGGCGAAGGCAAUCCCCUGGGCCUGUACUGACGCUCAUGCACGAAAGCGUGGGGAGCAAACAGG